GGGGCCUUGCCGGUUAUGCCUACAAGUCCCAUGAUGCCUCACGCCUGAACGCUGGCUCUACUCUGAACACCUGAUUGUCAACAGAGUGGAAAUGUCGGCGGUUCGCAGGGAAGAAGCGCUCCCACAGAUGGAGACCGAAGGGAGAACUUCCCCUGUGUCGACCAGAUGAGCAUGUGGGAUUUGGACGCGUUGGGCGGUCCGCCUCGGUGGAACGCUUUACUGAGCAGCUCCACUCCGCCUGGAGGCCGCUGAAUGUUUGGCAUAGCAACCGCGUCAGGCCUCUCGUUACCACGGGGCUUCCUUCGCCCGCGCAGCUGUCUUCGGACCGCAGCUUUAAAGCGACAGCGAACAAAAGCACUGCCCCCCCCCCCACCACCACCACCACCACCAUUACCCCAUUGGUGGUUUGUUAACGAGAAGUAAAACCCAAAUGAUGUCCGGUCUCGAAAUAUGAAACGGUUGGUUUGACUUCCCUUAAGCGGCGUGGGGCGGAGGAGCCCCGCGGGGCCUCUGGGCUUCUGUCCGUCUCCUCUGAUCUCUUGACAAUAAUGAUUUGUUUGUCUGCUGCGAGUUGUUGCCCAGCAGGAGUGCACACCUGUGUGUGUGUGUGUGUGUGUGUGUGUGUGUGUGUGUGUCCCGGGUGGCUCCUCCGUCAGCUGAUCGUAGUGGCAGUGUUGGGUUUCAUCAUGCUGUUUAUUCCUCCACCCUGAAGUUCGAGGGGUGGGGGCGGCAUGUGUGUGCUUGCGUGUGCUUGCUGUCGUGUUGACGUCUCCGGGCUCUGUUGAACAGAGACAUUGCGUGUCCCCGAGCCUCACCCGUCCCUCCCCUUUCUGUCACCUUCACUUCUUGUUCUUUAACAACCCGAGGAGGAGGAGGAUGGGGAGGAGUUUGAUUCCAGCCCCCCCCUCCUCCCCCGGUUUGUUUAUCUGUGCGCCGGUCGUCUCUCUCUCAGCUUAUUGCGACACUUACUGUCACAAACGGAUGACCCCAGCCGGGCAUGUGUGUGUUUAUAUUUGAGUGUGUGUGUGUGUGUGUCAGGAGGGGGGGAGGGCUCUAGCCCGCGAGGCUAUUAAUACCACCUAAUGAACAUAAUCUGGAGGGUAGGUGAUCCUCUUUCAUUCGUCUGCCCGAGGCCGAGGGGAGGAGUGCAGCGCGGGAGGAAGAGGAGGGAAAAGGCUGCUGUGCUGUUAAUGCGCCACCUCCACGCUGCUCCACUCAAAUCAAGAAACAGAAA
This is a long non-coding RNA of Gasterosteus aculeatus aculeatus (three-spined stickleback), 1234 nucleotides long. The record is from Ensembl. Lineage: Eukaryota; Metazoa; Chordata; Actinopteri; Perciformes; Gasterosteidae.